AGGUGUCCCCAGGUGUCCCCAGGUACCCCAGGUGUGUCCCCAGAUGUCCCCAGGUGUCCCCAGGUGUCCCCAGGUGUCCCCAGGUGUGCCCAGUUGUGCCCAGGUGUGUUCAGGUGUCCCCAGGUGUGCCCAGGUGUCCCCAGGUGUGCCCAGGUGUCCCCAGGUGUGUUUUUAUCCCCCCCAGGUGUCCCCAGGUGUGCCCCCAGGUGUCCCCAGGUGUCCCCAGGUGUGCCCAGGUGUCCCCAGGUGUGCCCAGGUGUGUCCAGGUGUCCCCAGGUGAUAUUCAGGUGUGCCCAGGUGUGCCCAGGUGUCCCCAGGUGUGCCCAGGUGUCCCCAGGUGUGUUCCAGGUGUCCCCAGGUGUGUCCAGGUGUGUCCCAGGUGUGUCCAGGUGUGUUUUUAUCCCCCCAGGUGUCCCCAGGUGAGGUUCAGGUGUGCCCAGGUGUGUUUUUAUCCCCCCCAGGUGUGCCCAGGUGUCCCCAGGUGCCCCCAGGGUGAUGUUCAGGUGUGUCCAGGUGUGCCCAGGUAUGUCCCCAG
RNAcentral lists this long non-coding RNA (535 nucleotides) under Cyanistes caeruleus (blue tit). RNAcentral's name for it is "lncRNA (ENSCCEG00000018640.1)". Lineage: Eukaryota; Metazoa; Chordata; Aves; Passeriformes; Paridae. The record is from RNAcentral.